This 27-nucleotide non-coding RNA is filed under the name Drosophila melanogaster (fruit fly). The record is from RNAcentral. RNAcentral also lists the same sequence under 3 other names. Lineage: Eukaryota; Metazoa; Arthropoda; Insecta; Diptera; Drosophilidae.
AUAACGACUCUCGGCAACGGAUAUCUC